CAGCAGCCACGGGAAUACAGAGGGUGCGAGCGUUAAUCGGAUUUACUGGGCGUAAAGCGUGCGUAGGCGGCUUCUUAAGUCGUAUGUGAAAUCCCUGAGCUUAACUUAGGAAUUGCAUUCGAUACUGGGAAGCUAGAGUAUGGGAGAGGAUGGUAGAAUUCCAGGUGUAGCGGUGAAAUGCGUAGAGAUUUGGAGGAACACCGAUGGCGAAGGCAGCCAUCUGGCCUAAUACUGACGCUGAGGUACGAAAGCAUGGGGAGCAAACAGGAUUAGAUACCCGAGUAGUCCCUGUCUCUUAUAC
This 301-nucleotide ribosomal RNA is filed under the name uncultured bacterium. Its description in RNAcentral is "partial 16S ribosomal RNA". It matches the Rfam family "Bacterial small subunit ribosomal RNA", at positions 509 to 807 of the family's 1533-position model. The record is from RNAcentral.